This 577-nucleotide ribosomal RNA is filed under the name uncultured bacterium. RNAcentral describes it as "partial 16S ribosomal RNA". It matches the Rfam family "Bacterial small subunit ribosomal RNA", at positions 355 to 924 of the family's 1533-position model. The record is from RNAcentral.
UGGGGAAUUUUGGACAAUGGGCGAAAGCCUGAUCCAGCAAUGCCGCGUGUGUGAAGAAGGCCUUCGGGUUGUAAAGCACUUUUGUCCGGAAAGAAAUCCUUGGCUCUAAUACAGUCGGGGGAUGACGGUACCGGAAGAAUAAGCACCGGCUAACUACGUGCCAGCAGCCGCGGUAAUACGUAGGGUGCAAGCGUUAAUCGGAAUUACUGGGCGUAAAGCGUGCGCAGGCGGUUUGCUAAGACCGAUGUGAAAUCCCCGGGCUCAACCUGGGAACUGCAUUGGUGACUGGCAGGCUAGAGUAUGGCAGAGGGGGGUAGAAUUCCACGUGUAGCAGUGAAAUGCGUAGAGAUGUGGAGGAAUACCGAUGGCGAAGGCAGCCCCCUGGGCCAAUACUGACGCUCAUGCACGAAAGCGUGGGGGAGCAAACAGGAUUAGAUACCCUGGUAGUCCACGCCCUAAACGAUGUCAACUAGUUGUUGGGGAUUCAUUUCCUUAGUAACGUAGCUAACGCGUGAAGUUGACCGCCUGGGGAGUACGGUCGCAAGAUUAAAACUCAAAUGAAUUGACGGGGUCAUAG